This 3232-nucleotide long non-coding RNA is filed under the name Sorghum bicolor (sorghum). RNAcentral describes it as "long non-coding RNA (SBIC_LNC002749)". The record is from RNAcentral. Lineage: Eukaryota; Viridiplantae; Streptophyta; Magnoliopsida; Poales; Poaceae.
UGGAUGAAGAAUUGAAAUCCUAACUUUGACUCUGUAGAAGAGGUAUGAUUUCCAGGGGCCAGGGGGUCUGGUUUUAUAGUCCCUUCAAGUGAAUAUGGGCCGUUGGAUCAAACCGACAUUAAUCGCACGGUUUUCCUUGAUCCUUUAGGUCGGUGGAGCGUUGUCUCGAAAGAGAGUCCUGAUUGGGCACUGUAGCUAGGCGGGCGCCCAGGAGAGUAGGGCGGGCGCCCUGCCUCCGAGCCCGAUUGCCUUCCCGUUCGUUCCCGUGGCUUCUGGAGUCUUCUAGAUGGUAGAAAAUUGCACAGUACGUUAAUAUCUCUAUGUAAACCCGACGUGUGGGCCUUUCUUUCAUAUUUCCUGAUAACCCCCUACAGAAAUAGACAAACACCAAAACUCAUGGAAUUCUGUCAGAUAAAACCCUAAGUCUAGGUGUUAGUUGCAUUUGGAUCCUUUUCCAUGAUUAAUUGAUGAUUAAAUAUGAGCAUUAAGGACCGUCAACAAGCUCCCCCAAGCUUAACCUUUGCUCGUCCCUGAGCAAAGGUAAACUCAAAAGUUUCUGCAGUGGUUUCAUGCCUUAAAGAUACACAUGCUUUCAAACAAGAUGUCAUCUCUGGGUUAGGGUAAACUUUCAAGACUGAAAACUUACUUGUUUUACCUUUUACCAUGGGACUUAUAACCGUCACUUCUGUCUUGAGCAGUUAAAAGAUAGAACAGUCUAGUCAAGCACCAUGUCUCUUAUUCGUGAUCAGCUAUAGCUCUAGAGUUUUUGUAGAUUUUCAAAUAAAACUCAGAGAUUCCUUGUAUGACUCUUUCUAGUCUCUCUUUCGUGGUAUUUCUGAAUCCUUACCAAGGCAGUAAUGGUGUAUGCCUUCUCUCAAAGUAUGUGGUAUUUUUGGUAUGAGGCACAGUGGCAUUGUCUUCUCUCUCACCCUACUCUAAUAAGGCUUUUGAUAUCUGGAGCUCAUAGGUGGGAGACAGCUAAUACAUACUUACAAGACAUUUAUUGCAUAGUCAAACCAUGGAUCUAGAAGAACAAGUUAAUAAGUCAAAUCAAGAUGUGCAUGUGUGGCGAAUGAAUGGUGAUAAUGGUGAAAGUAAUGGUGAAAGUCUAAUUCUACUUUUGCUCUUUUGAGGGGGUACAUACCUUUCUUGCUCUUUUGAAAUUUUUGGAGAGAAUGAGAUGCUCUAUAUUUUCUUUUUCUUUUCUCUCAGGUGGGUAUCUUGUACCCCUAAUUCUACUGUGGGACACUUGUCUAUUUUUACCUCUCGUCUCACUUUUUCUUUCUUUCGAGGUUCCGGGCACUUGCCCCUUUUUAUUUCCUCAUAUACAUUUUUUCUUUUCUUUUCUUUUCUUUUUUUUAGAGCACUCAUCUCAUGAGAUAAUAUAGCAAGUGGUAGAAACAAAGAUAACUUGAGCAUUUAUUUCAUAGGGAAAAAUAGAAAUGUUUUUGGCUAUUCUCUCCCGGAUUAGGAGUAGAAUAUUUUUAGGUGAUUCUGGAGAUGGAAAUGGGUGGAUAUAUGUGGAUGCGUACUUCCGGAGUAGAAGCAGCCUGUGUGAGUGAACGUGCAAGUGAAUCUUGAUUUAACCACAUGACAAGCUCCUAAGGGUCUACACAGCUUGACCACACUCAAUGCUCAUAAGCAGUAAAAAGUAAAUGUGUGGCUCAAAGUCUAGCAAGCAUGUAUAUAUGGCUGUGGUAGGAAUUUAAACUCUCAUCAUACAGGAACUCAUCCUAUGAUAUUUUAAAGAUUUUCAAAGAUAAAAUUCUCCAGAAUUCUAGCAUCUCUAGGAAUAGAUAAACAACAGCUCAACCUUCCCAUGUCAUAUCUGUUAACGACUUAGGCUUUAGAUUAAGUACUCUCCCCAUAGUUCAGGUUUUGAGCAAAUCUUAAUUAAUACCAGUCAUGCCUAAACUUGAGAGAGAUUUCAAUUUUAAGAACUAGUCAUUGGCAGAGCAACUAUUCAUCAUUUCCAUGUGAGAGCUUAUCAUUAGGGUUCAUAGCAAACUUUAUUUAUUUAUUUAUUUAGCAAACUAAGCAAAGAUAUAUAUAAGCACAAAAUCUUUAUUUGGGUUUUUAUGAUUAUGUAUCUUUUUAUUAUUUGAGUAAAGUAUAAACAUGAGUAGAACACUUAGCUGGAUAAAUGGGGGUGCUCUCCCCCAAGCUGGAUUUUGACGUAAUUUCUCCUGAUGUAGCUAGCAGGUGGCGGAGGUGUAUUUGAAUGUCAGCAGCACCCUGACACCGAUUAGGAUAUCCUCCGUCUGCUAGUCUUCUUUGAUCCUUGAAUUCUAUGGAGCUCAAAUAGACAACAAAGCUCUUGGCAAGGCGUUCGGUGUUUUUAAGUCCUCCAAACGGGACUCUUGUAUUCUCAAUCAUCCUGGGAUUCGCUGGAUGGCAUAGUCGGUGGUUCUGGCGGCGCCUGCUCUUCAUGUAUAACUAUCUUCUCUCUACACUCCUGACUUGGUGCUACGGUCUUCUCAGGACAAUUUUGUUCAAGUUGUAUGUCUUCAGACUGUACUACUUCCCCUUCAUAGUCUGCCCAUCCGUCCAUGAUGAUUUGCCUCCUCUGGUUGCGGUUGCGUUGUCUUCUUCUUGUCCUGACCUGCUUAGAGUCGUCACUAUAUAGUUAGGGUCAGUAAAAUAGUGGCGUACCUUCUCAGAGGGGAAGUGCAUGUGGACUUCUCUGGUUCCAAUGUAGAUGAUUGCUUUAACGGUGCUGAGGAACGGUCUCCCAAUGAUGAUGAGUGGAUCGUACUCGUCUUCUCCCAUGAUAAUAACCUUCAACCUUUCGGAAUGUCUGAUCUGCCAUCUGGAGCUGAAUGUAUGUUGGUUUUAGGGGCAUGGUUCCGAACAGGAGCUGAUAGAUGACUGCGGCCAUUAUGUUGAUGACAGAUCCGAUGUCGUAGAGUGUCUUCUGAAAAGGAUAUCCGUUGAUUGUGCACUCGAUGCUUGGAACACCAGGGUCGUCCUUCUUGGUCAGGAACGGUGACUUAAAUCGACGAUCUUGACCUCCUUGAACUGCAGUGAUCAUCUUAGCUGACUCGGUCCACACUUGCUUGUUCCUGUUCCUCCUGUUGGUCCUUUCCUUGGUUCUUGUCAGGAUUGCUCUGAGAUUUAUGUAGUCUUGUUCUUGAAGGAAAACGUCUCCUUUCUCCCUUUGAUGUAGAAACUGAUCUUGGCAGCACUAGCGUAGAUGACAGCUCCUGAGGUAUUCAGGAAUAGCCUGCCUAGG